AAGUCCCCUCAAAGUAUCUGCUUUAUAUACAUUAUUUACACAAUGGGCUGCCCAUGAUUGGCUAAUUCUGGAAUUCUACUGUAAGCCAAUCAGGUUGUGGAUUCACUUCUAUCUGGAGCAUGAUUGGGUGGUUCCUGCCAACCAAUCAUACUGCUGCAUUGUUCUAAGACCAAUCAGACUGCUGCAGUUUGGAUCCUAUUCAAUUCAGUACAUAACAAGGGUGAAGGGGGGAUACUGGCUCUUCAAGGGUUAAAGGCAGCGAUUAUAUUAUGACGCUGGACUUCCUGGGGGGAGAGGGAAGCGUCACUUCCUCCUCCGUUUGUCACAUGUGACAAGCUGCGAGGGAGGAGAUUCUGCAGCGCGGAAGACUGUGCCUUUUGCAAGGAAGGAUGGAAGAGGCAGAUCCUAGCGAGGAUGGAAGGGGGAAGAUGGACGGUUGACCUGGUCCGGCUGCCUCCCCCAACCUCUGACCGUUCCCCUCCAGGACACUCAGAGAGAUCUGCGAGGAUGGAAGGAGGAAGAUGGACGGUUGACCUGGUCAGGCUGUCUCCCACCACCUUUGAAUGUUCCCUCCCAGGACCUUUAGAGAGAUCUGGUGAGUUCCAAGGAAUGGAGAUGGGGACCUGGGGAGAUGUUGGGGGCUGAGGAAGCUCCCCUGGCAAGAAAACAAGGAGGGCUGCAGGGCCAGAGCUCUGGACUGGCAGAGAUUAAAGAUAGGCAGGAAAUGAAUGUUUUCUAAUGGUGACUUGGCCAUAGUCAGGAUUUGGGGGCUGCUGUCUACCAACUCCAUCUGCUACACAGGCUGAGACCCUACCUGCACACAGACUGUGGUACAUGCUAUGGUUAUCUCCCGCUUGGAUUGCUACAAUGCACUCUAGGUGGGGCUGCCUUUGAAAGUGACUCGGAAACUACAAUUAAUCCAGAAAGCGGCAGCUCAACUGGUGACUGGGAGCAGUUGCCAGGAGCAUAUAACACUGGUCUUAAAGGAUCUACAUCGGCUCAGAGUUUGUUUCUGAGCAUCAUUCAAAGUGUUGGUGCUGACCUUUAAAGCUCUAAACAGUCUUGACCCUGUAGACCUGAAGGAGCAUCUCUAACCCCAGACACUGAGGUCCAGCUCUGGUUCCCUGAUUGCCAGAAGUGAAGUUACAGGGAACCAGGCAGAGGGCCUGCUCAGUGGUGGCACCCUUCAGAUGUCUUCCUGGUGCAACUGGACUUCUCCGCAACCCUUCCCCUCCGCAGGGAGGUGGGACCGAUUCGGAUGGUCCGCCC
Molecule: long non-coding RNA, 1269 nt
Filed under: Podarcis muralis (Common wall lizard)
Lineage: Eukaryota; Metazoa; Chordata; Lepidosauria; Squamata; Lacertidae
Description: lncRNA (ENSPMRG00000019649.1)
Source: RNAcentral